AUUUAUAUAGUUUAAAAAAAACUCUAUAUUUUCAAUAUAAAAAUAAUUAUAUAAUUUAUAAAUA
RNAcentral lists this transfer RNA (64 nucleotides) under Lasioglossum punctatissimum. RNAcentral's name for it is "tRNA-Glu". Lineage: Eukaryota; Metazoa; Arthropoda; Insecta; Hymenoptera; Halictidae. The record is from RNAcentral.